Molecule: ribosomal RNA, 657 nt
Filed under: Hyphobacterium vulgare
Lineage: Bacteria; Pseudomonadati; Pseudomonadota; Alphaproteobacteria; Maricaulales; Maricaulaceae
Description: bacterial SSU rRNA
Rfam family: Bacterial small subunit ribosomal RNA
Source: RNAcentral
CUCUUCGGAGUGAGUGGCAGACGGGUGAGUAACGCGUGGGAACAUGCCCAUCAGUACGGAAUAGCUCCGGGAAACUGGAAUUAAUACCGUAUACGUCCUUCGGGAGAAAGAUUUAUCGCUGAUGGAUUGGCCCGCGUUAGAUUAGCUAGUUGGUGAGGUAAAAGCUCACCAAGGCGACGAUCUAUAGCUGGUCUGAGAGGAUGAUCAGCCACACUGGGACUGAGACACGGCCCAGACUCCUACGGGAGGCAGCAGUGGGGAAUCUUGGACAAUGGGGGAAACCCUGAUCCAGCCAUGCCGCGUGAAUGAUGAAGGCCUUAGGGUUGUAAAAUUCUUUCAGCAGGGAAGAUAAUGACGGUACCUGCAGAAGAAGCCCCGGCUAACUCCGUGCCAGCAGCCGCGGUAAUACGGAGGGGGCUAGCGUUGUUCGGAAUUACUGGGCGUAAAGCGCACGUAGGCGGCUAGGAAAGUCAGAGGUGAAAGCCCAGGGCUCAACCCUGGAAUUGCCUUUGAAACUAUCUAGCUAGAGUUCGGGAGAGGUGAGUGGAAUUCCGAGUGUAGAGGUGAAAUUCGUAGAUAUUCGGAGGAACACCAGAGGCGAAGGCGACUCACUGGACCGAUACUGACGCUGAGGUGCGAAAGCGUGGGGAGCAAACA